GGGAAUGUAGCUCUGUGGUAGAGUGCUUGCUUAGCAUGCAUGAAGCCCUGGGUUUGAUUCCUCAGUACCA
RNAcentral lists this transfer RNA (70 nucleotides) under Dipodomys ordii (Ord's kangaroo rat). It matches the Rfam family "tRNA". Rfam says of the family: Transfer RNA (tRNA) molecules are approximately 80 nucleotides in length. Lineage: Eukaryota; Metazoa; Chordata; Mammalia; Rodentia; Heteromyidae. The record is from Rfam by way of RNAcentral.